CAGGAACACUGCUAAGCAGCCUGCAAGGCAUGAGAUGGUCCCCAGUAACAAAGAAAAGAUGGCCAGGUGGUAGUGGAGGGCGCUGGGACAUUGCGUAUAGACCAGGCUCUCCAGACCCACCUGGGGCAGCGGAGUCAGAAGCCCACAGGUGAACACCUGCUCAUCCCAGCCCCACACCCCCCGCAGGUGGAGAGAGGAAGGCUUCAUAAGGAGGUGGAGGCAAGCAGGCAAGCAUGGAUCUCAUCUGUCUGCCUGAGAGAAAGCCCAGAUCAGCACUGGGAGGGUCAGCCCACGUUCCUGAGCGAGUAAGGGGGUAGUCCUGGCCAGAACUCUGGAACCCCGGCUAGUUGCAGACCCCCCUCUUGCCCCACAGAUCAUCAUGGGAUUCCUGUCCAGCCUCUGGCCAUGAGGUGAUUUUUUUGGCUUCUAACGCCGAGGCUCACCUUGCCUUUCUCUCUCACUUGCCGCUCUCAUGCAGCCCCGCAUUGAAGAGCCAUCAGAAACCAAACCUUCCUGGUCCUGAGGGUGCCUGGGAAAGGGGCGGCCCUGCCCAUCUAGGUGGAGUUUGGGAUUGCUGCGUUCACCAUCUCCUUUGUGGAACACUGACAUCUCCCGAGACAGAGGCUUCCUGGCAUCACCAGGGACAUCUGGAGGGAAUCUUCCACCUGCCUCCUCCCAUCUGGUUCUGGGCUUGGCAGCCUGAGCAGGAGCCUUCAGCAUGGCUGGGCAGUGGCUUCCAUCUGCUGGGAUUCUCCUGGCUGGAUCACCAAUGA
Molecule: long non-coding RNA, 773 nt
Filed under: Bos indicus x Bos taurus (hybrid cattle)
Lineage: Eukaryota; Metazoa; Chordata; Mammalia; Artiodactyla; Bovidae
Description: lncRNA (ENSBIXG00000012885.1)
Source: RNAcentral